Cylas formicarius (sweet potato weevil) is the source of this 931-nucleotide long non-coding RNA. RefSeq lists it as uncharacterized. The record is from RefSeq and is a predicted model, not a curated record. NCBI's taxonomy places the organism in Eukaryota, Metazoa, Arthropoda, Insecta, Coleoptera, Brentidae. The transcript is spliced from 3 exons.
ACUGAUUUCUAAAUAUGCAUCUUGAGACGCCCACACACGAGGAAAACUUAUACGUAAUUACAGAGCGAGGAAAUGUAGACUGGAAAACAUUUUAUCCUGAUCCGAAACUAUAAUUUUGCGAAGCAGUUCAUCCCUACGUAUUUUAAUAUCAGCAGUUCCCAUGUUAUUUACUUUUAAUUUUCUUUUUUCUUUUUAAAACCGACACUGAAAUAGUUCAAACGCAUUAUUGCAUUUUAUUGAACGUGGUGUGUUGGAAUGCGUCUUUCCAGAAGCAUGGAAAAAAGAUUUGGUAAUACCAUUACCAAAAGCUAAUAAUCCUCAAGAAUUCAAAGAUUUAAGAUCAGUUAGUGUCCUGUCAUGUCUUUCAAAAAUCAGGUUCUUCCCGAAAAUCAGUCUGGAUUUAGGCGAUAUCACGGAUGUUCCUCGGCACUGGCAAAUGUCAGUGAUGACAUCUUCAGGGCUACAGACGCGGUUGUUUAUAAUCCUAUUAUCGACGUACGCCCAUUUUCGAAAUCUCAUGGUGGAAGGAAACUAUCCAAUCAGACUAUUUUUCUACUCUAGUAUUUUACCUACGGCUGCGAACCACUUCGGACAUUUCCGGGAUAUUACCACGGGAGUUUGGGAGCAUUGCAGUUCAUUUGGCACCAGCGGAGCACAGCAAAGCGAGUAAGUAAUAAACGGGUGACUUAAAAAGUAUACCAAACCUGUUGUACACCCAUGCGGUAAUAUCUCGGAAAUAUGCUGUGUCGCUUGGAUUCAUGAAAAACGAAAAUGAAGUGGUAAAAUGACACUUUUCGCUCGCUAGAUUGAGUAUUUUACAAAAGGGCGUCAAAAAACUUUUUAAAUCACUCGUGACUCAAGUGCCGUUUACCACACUUGUUGAAUAAUAUACCAAUGAUGAUUUAUUAUUUAACUAAUUAUCUCAACUAAA